UGGGGAAUUUUGGACAAUGGGCGCAAGCCUGAUCCAGCAAUGCCGCGUGAGUGAAGAAGGCCUUCGGGUUGUAAAGCUCUUUCAGUUGAGAAGAAAAGAUUGUAACUAAUAAUUACAGUUCAUGACGGUAUCAACAGAAGAAGCACCGGCUAACUACGUGCCAGCAGCCGCGGUAAUACGUAGGGUGCGAGCGUUAAUCGGAAUUACUGGGCGUAAAGGGUGCGCAGGCGGUUCUGUAAGUCAGAUGUGAAAUCCCCGGGCUUAACCUGGGAACUGCGUUUGAAACUACAAAGCUAGAGUGUGGCAGAGGGGGGUGGAAUUCCAUGUGUAGCAGUGAAAUGCGUAGAGAUAUGGAAGAACAUCGAUGGCGAAGGCAGCCCCCUGGGUUAACACUGACGCUCAUGCACGAAAGCGUGGGGAGCAAACAGG
RNAcentral lists this ribosomal RNA (429 nucleotides) under uncultured bacterium. RNAcentral describes it as "bacterial SSU rRNA". It matches the Rfam family "Bacterial small subunit ribosomal RNA", at positions 355 to 776 of the family's 1533-position model. The record is from RNAcentral.